RNAcentral lists this long non-coding RNA (1640 nucleotides) under Lynx pardinus (Iberian lynx). The record is from RNAcentral. Lineage: Eukaryota; Metazoa; Chordata; Mammalia; Carnivora; Felidae.
UGGGGAUUUCUGCUUUGGAAUGGGCAGAAUCAGAGACCAAACAAUGGUGAGCACACCCUGAAAUCAUAGCACAAACCUACUUUCUUGGAAUAAAUGAAAGACUGUUCUCAGCGUUUGGGUUGCAGUUUUCACUGUAUUCUUUUUUUCUCUGUUUUUGCACACUCGGGCAGAGGAAGGACUCUUCUGUGUACUGUGAGCAGUGUAAUAUUGCGGCCCUCGUUCAGGAAAGUGUCCCCGUUGAAUAUUCUAAGUCUGUCCCAGGGCAGUAAUCCAGGAGGGUGGAGACAGUCUCUUUUGGAUUAUAUUUACUUUUGUUUUUUUCUCCUCCAAAGGAAAAGAAAGUCAUGAGAGAUACUGUCUGAUGGAUGGAGCCUGCUGACCAAGUGCUUCAUGCUGACUUCACUGGGGGGUGACUGAACAUCUGGUGACCCGAAACUUCCUCUGCUCUUACGGGGACUAAGGGGACGCCUCUGAGGCUGGGCAGCAAAUCUCUGAGCUCAGGAGUUGAGUCAGGAAGCUUCUAGGAAGACAUUAUUUUCUCCUUCUAGCCUUAUGGAAGCUUGGUUUUCCCCCAGCCCUCGGAUCUAACUUUCUCUGUGGUGACUGCUAACUUGGAUCACAUUGUGAGAGCUCAGUGUGUUUUUCUGAUUAGGUGGACACCUGUCAUGGAGAGAACUGGCGUGACAUGCUGUUGGGGCCACUGAGAGGCCUGGGCAGCCACGGGGACCACGAGCUUCAGGCUUUAGUUGGUAGCUAGGAUGAACUGCUGUGACAACAUUGAGAAAAGCAGAAUAUUUAGCUCUCACAGCGUCCUUAACGGACAUUUUCUCACUUGACCUUUUUUUUAAAAAAAACCUUUUUUUUUUUUUAAUGUUUAUUUAUUUUUGAGAGAGAAGGCAUAAGCAGGGGAGGGGCAGAGAGAGAGGGAGACCCAGAAUCCGAAACAGGCUCCAGGCUCCGUGCUCUCAGCACAGAGCCUGACACAGGGCUCGAACUCACAAACUGUGAGAUCAUGACCUGAGCCGAAGUUGGACGCUUAACCAACUGAGCCACCCGGGCACCCCUCACUUGACCUUCUGACAACCUAUGGUCAAGGUAAAAAAACAGGGGACUUGAAGCCAAACGGACAAGGAUUUGAAACUUCCUACCCCUUUACUGGGUCCUAAUGCUUGUAUUUAAUCUUUCUUUUUUUUUUUUUUUAAGUUUUUUUUUUUUUUUAAGUUUUAUUUAUUUAUUUUGAGAGAGACUAAGACAGCACAAGCAGGGGAGGGGCAGAGAGACUGGGUGAAUCCCAAGCAGGCUCCACACUUCGGCACAGGGCCCCACGUGGGGCCUGAACUCACGAAACCGUGAGAUCAUGACCUGAGCCGAAAUCGAGUCAGAUGCCUAACUGACCGAACCACUCAGGUGCCCCAAAUCUUUCUGACCCUUGGUUUCCUCCUCUGUAAAGUGGGGUUGAGGACCUCUCACAGGGUUGUCAAGAGGAGCAAAUGGGAUCCUGUGUUCACGGGUUCUACUCAGUAAGUUCUAUUCCUGUUACUGUGCCUUUUUUCAGAUGAGAAGACUGAGUCCUACACAUGCCAAGUGAUUUCCUCCAGAUGCCUCAUUUCAUAAGGAACGGAGCCUAGGCCCGCACUCUG